CUCCUGGAAACGGGAGAGUGCCUUUCGGGGAGCCCGGAGACAGGUGCUGCAUGGCUGUCGUCAGCUCGUGUCGUGAGAUGUCGGGUUAAGUCCCGCAACGAGCGCAACCCUUGUCUUUAAUUG
Molecule: ribosomal RNA, 123 nt
Filed under: uncultured bacterium
Lineage: Bacteria
Description: partial 16S ribosomal RNA
Rfam family: Bacterial small subunit ribosomal RNA
Source: RNAcentral